GUUGUAUGUAUCUGAUCACUACUGUAGUAGGGUUGGAAGGUUAGACAGGUUGUAUGUAUCUGAUCACUACUGUAGUAGGGUUGGAAGGUUAGACAGGUUGUAUGUAUCUGAUCACUACUGUAAUAGGGUUGGAAGGUUAGACAGGUUGUAUGUAUCUGAUCACUACUGUAGUAGGGUUGGAAGGUUAGACAGGUGGUAUGUAUCUGAUCUCUACUGUAGUAGGGUUGGAAGGUUAGACAGGUUGUAUGUAUCUGAUCACUACUGUAGUAGGGUUGGAAGGUUAGACAGGUUGUAUGUAUCUGAUCACUACUGUAAUAGGGUUGGAAGGUUAGAC
This 334-nucleotide long non-coding RNA is filed under the name Salmo salar (Atlantic salmon). Its description in RNAcentral is "lncRNA (ENSSSAG00000092596.1)". The record is from RNAcentral. Lineage: Eukaryota; Metazoa; Chordata; Actinopteri; Salmoniformes; Salmonidae.